Amborella trichopoda is the source of this 581-nucleotide long non-coding RNA. RefSeq lists it as uncharacterized. The record is from RefSeq and is a predicted model, not a curated record. Lineage: Eukaryota; Viridiplantae; Streptophyta; Magnoliopsida; Amborellales; Amborellaceae.
CACUAAUCUCGAGAUUCAAGAAUCAAGAAAAGCCAGAAGCUCCUCCGGCAAGUUUAUACUUGUUCCGACGGCCAGCUUCAACAUCACAGAUUGUGAGAAAGGAAAAGGAGUUGGGAUUGAUACACCAAACUCGAGAAAAAGGAAGAUCUACACUGGGCAGAGACAAAUAAGAAUGCAGACAAUGAAGUUCUCUACAAUCCGAUCUUCCCAAAACUCUCCACACUACUCUCCCUCUUUCCCCAACUCUCCAUAAUACUCUCCUUCAAUACUCUUCCUCUUCUCCCCAAUACUCUCCCUCUUCCCCCAACUAUCCUCAAUACACUCCCUCUUCUCCCCAGUACUCAGACAUGGAGUCUACAAACUUUUCAAUCUCCCUCUCUCUCGUACUCUCUUCGACUCCCUACUCUCCCCAAAUGAGACUUUCAUCCUAUGGUUAUUAAUUUUUUGUUUUUCUAUUAAAUUAAUGUUCUUUUGUAAUUUUUUUUAUUAUUAGAAAAUUUAAUGUUAGUUAUUUCUUAACAAUUUUUUCCUUGUAAUCAGUACCCAUUUUGAAUUUUAAUAGGAAUUAUUUCUUUAUUUUC